GACAUUUGGGGUGUUCCCAAUACGAAACUAAUAAGAAUAACGCUGCUCCGAAUAGUCUUGUCCACGUCCUUUGGUGCACGUAUGCACACAUCUCUGUGGAAUUGCUGGGUCAGAAGGGAAUGCGCCAUCUAGUGGGAAAGAGAGGCAUGUGCACCACUGACGGUGAACGCAGAGCCGAGUGAAAGGAGUCGUAUCCGAACAAGGGCUGUGGGAACUCCGGGAAGAUGUCAGAGGUGGAGGUGGCACUUCUAGGAUGGACACGUGUGGACUCUGGUGCCCCAAAGAACUCUACCUCUGAGGAUUAUUAAAGGUGCCAGCGAGGUGACAGGUGUGAAUGCCACAGACCAAACAG
Molecule: long non-coding RNA, 352 nt
Organism: Rhinolophus ferrumequinum (greater horseshoe bat)
Lineage: Eukaryota; Metazoa; Chordata; Mammalia; Chiroptera; Rhinolophidae
Exons: 3
Source: RefSeq, a predicted model, not a curated record